Molecule: transfer RNA, 84 nt
Filed under: Minisyncoccota bacterium
Lineage: Bacteria; Bacillati; Minisyncoccota
Description: tRNA-Leu
Rfam family: tRNA
About the family: Transfer RNA (tRNA) molecules are approximately 80 nucleotides in length. Their secondary structure includes four short double-helical elements and three loops (D, anti-codon, and T loops).
Source: RNAcentral
GCCGAAGUGGCGGAAUUGGUAGACGCGCAUGUUUCAGGUACAUGUGAGCGCAAGCUCAUGGAGGUUCAAGUCCUCUCUUCGGCA